Molecule: ribosomal RNA, 2622 nt
Filed under: Escherichia coli
Lineage: Bacteria; Pseudomonadati; Pseudomonadota; Gammaproteobacteria; Enterobacterales; Enterobacteriaceae
Description: partial 23S ribosomal RNA
Rfam family: Bacterial large subunit ribosomal RNA
Source: RNAcentral
AACUGAAUCCAUAGGUUAAUGAGGCGAACCGGGGGAACUGAAACAUCUAAGUACCCCGAGGAAAAGAAAUCAACCGAGAUUCCCCCAGUAGCGGCGAGCGAACGGGGAGGAGCCCAGAGCCUGAAUCAGUGUGUGUGUUAGUGGAAGCGUCUGGAAAGGCGCGCGAUACAGGGUGACAGCCCCGUACACAAAAAUGCACAUAUUGUGAGCUCGAUGAGUAGGGCGGGACACGUGGUAUCCUGUCUGAAUAUGGGGGGACCAUCCUCCAAGGCUAAAUACUCCUGACUGACCGAUAGUGAACCAGUACCGUGAGGGAAAGGCGAAAAGAACCCCGGCGAGGGGAGUGAAAAAGAACCUGAAACCGUGUACGUACAAGCAGUGGGAGCCUCUUAAUGGGGUGACUGCGUACCUUUUGUAUAAUGGGUCAGCGACUUAUAUUCUGUAGCAAGGUUAACCGAAUAGGGGAGCCGAAGGGAAACCGAGUCUUAACUGGGCGUUAAGUUGCAGGGUAUAGACCCGAAACCCGGUGAUCUAGCCAUGGGCAGGUUGAAGGUUGGGUAACACUAACUGGAGGACCGAACCGACUAAUGUUGAAAAAUUAGCGGAUGACUUGUGGCUGGGGGUGAAAGGCCAAUCAAACCGGGAGAUAGCUGGUUCUCCCCGAAAGCUAUUUAGGUAGCGCCUCGUGAAUUCAUCUCCGGGGGUAGAGCACUGUUUCGGCAAGGGGGUCAUCCCGACUUACCAACCCGAUGCAAACUGCGAAUACCGGAGAAUGUUAUCACGGGAGACACACGGCGGGUGCUAACGUCCGUCGUGAAGAGGGAAACAACCCAGACCGCCAGCUAAGGUCCCAAAGUCAUGGUUAAGUGGGAAACGAUGUGGGAAGGCCCAGACAGCCAGGAUGUUGGCUUAGAAGCAGCCAUCAUUUAAAGAAAGCGUAAUAGCUCACUGGUCGAGUCGGCCUGCGCGGAAGAUGUAACGGGGCUAAACCAUGCACCGAAGCUGCGGCAGCGACACUAUGUGUUGUUGGGUAGGGGAGCGUUCUGUAAGCCUGUGAAGGUGGCCUGUGAGGGUUGCUGGAGGUAUCAGAAGUGCGAAUGCUGACAUAAGUAACGAUAAAGCGGGUGAAAAGCCCGCUCGCCGGAAGACCAAGGGUUCCUGUCCAACGUUAAUCGGGGCAGGGUGAGUCGACCCCUAAGGCGAGGCCGAAAGGCGUAGUCGAUGGGAAACAGGUUAAUAUUCCUGUACUUGGUGUUACUGCGAAGGGGGGACGGAGAAGGCUAUGUUGGCCGGGCGACGGUUGUCCCGGUUUAAGCGUGUAGGCUGGUUUUCCAGGCAAAUCCGGAAAACCAAGGCUGAGGCGUGAUGACGAGGCACUACGGUGCUGAAGCGACAAAUGCCCUGCUUCCAGGAAAAGCCUCUAAGCAUCAGGUAACAUCAAAUCGUACCCCAAACCGACACAGGUGGUCAGGUAGAGAAUACCAAGGCGCUUGAGAGAACUCGGGUGAAGGAACUAGGCAAAAUGGUGCCGUAACUUCGGGAGAAGGCACGCUGAUAUGUAGGUGAAGCGACUUGCUCGUGGAGCUGAAAUCAGUCGAAGAUACCAGCUGGCUGCAACUGUUUAUUAAAAACACAGCACUGUGCAAACACGAAAGUGGACGUAUACGGUGUGACGCCUGCCCGGUGCCGGAAGGUUAAUUGAUGGGGUUAGCGGCAACGCGAAGCUCUUGAUCGAAGCCCCGGUAAACGGCGGCCGUAACUAUAACGGUCCUAAGGUAGCGAAAUUCCUUGUCGGGUAAGUUCCGACCUGCACGAAUGGCGUAAUGAUGGCCAGGCUGUCUCCACCCGAGACUCAGUGAAAUUGAACUCGCUGUGAAGAUGCAGUGUACCCGCGGCAAGACGGAAAGACCCCGUGAACCUUUACUAUAGCUUGACACUGAACAUUGAGCCUUGAUGUGUAGGAUAGGUGGGAGGCUUUGAAGUGUGGACGCCAGUCUGCAUGGAGCCGACCUUGAAAUACCACCCUUUAAUGUUUGAUGUUCUAACGUUGGCCCCUAAUCGGGGUUGCGGACAGUGUCUGGUGGGUAGUUUGACUGGGGCGGUCUCCUCCUAAAGAGUAACGGAGGAGCACGAAGGUUGGCUAAUCCUGGUCGGACAUCAGGAGGUUAGUGCAAUGGCAUAAGCCAGCUUGACUGCGAGCGUGACGGCGCGAGCAGGUGCGAAAGCAGGUCAUAGUGAUCCGGUGGUUCUGAAUGGAAGGGCCAUCGCUCAACGGAUAAAAGGUACUCCGGGGAUAACAGGCUGAUACCGCCCAAGAGUUCAUAUCGACGGCGGUGUUUGGCACCUCGAUGUCGGCUCAUCACAUCCUGGGGCUGAAGUAGGUCCCAAGGGUAUGGCUGUUCGCCAUUUAAAGUGGUACGCGAGCUGGGUUUAGAACGUCGUGAGACAGUUCGGUCCCUAUCUGCCGUGGGCGCUGGAGAACUGAGGGGGGCUGCUCCUAGUACGAGAGGACCGGAGUGGACGCAUCACUGGUGUUCGGGUUGUCAUGCCAAUGGCACUGCCCGGUAGCUAAAUGCGGAAGAGAUAAGUGCUGAAAGCAUCUAAGCACGAAACUUGCCCCGA